RNAcentral lists this ribosomal RNA (425 nucleotides) under uncultured bacterium. RNAcentral's name for it is "bacterial SSU rRNA". It matches the Rfam family "Bacterial small subunit ribosomal RNA", at positions 356 to 773 of the family's 1533-position model. The record is from RNAcentral.
GGGGAAUUUUGGACAAUGGGCGAAAGCCUGAUCCAGCCAUGCCGCGUGAGUGAAGAAGGCCUUCGGGUUGUAAAGCUCUUUCGGCUGGGAAGAAAUCGCACAGGCUAAUACUCUGUGUGGAUGACGGUACCAGCACAAGAAGCACCGGCUAACCACGUGCCAGCAGCCGCGGUAAUACGUAGGGUGCGAGCGUUAUUCGGAAUUACUGGGCGUAAAGCGCGCGUAGGCCGCUUUGUAAGUCAGGGGUGAAAUCCCACGGCUCAACCGUGGAACUGCCCUUGAAACUGCGAAGCUUGAAUCCUGGAGAGGGUGGCGGAAUUCCUGGUGUAGGAGUGAAAUCCGUAGAUAUCAGGAGGAACACCGGUGGCGAAGGCGGCCACCUGGACAGGUAUUGACGCUGAGGUGCGAAAGUGUGGGGAGCAAAC